AUACUUACCUGGCAGGGGAGAUACCAUGAUCAUGACUGUGGUUUUCUCAGGGUGAGACUAUCCACUGCACUCUGGAGGUGCUGACUCCUGAAGUUCCCCCAAAUGUGGGAAACUAGACUGCAUCAUUUGUGGCAGUGAGGGGAUUUCGUGCACACUCUUC
Molecule: small nuclear RNA, 160 nt
Organism: Phyllostomus discolor (pale spear-nosed bat)
Lineage: Eukaryota; Metazoa; Chordata; Mammalia; Chiroptera; Phyllostomidae
Product: U1 spliceosomal RNA
Exons: 1
Source: RefSeq, a predicted model, not a curated record